RNAcentral lists this ribosomal RNA (750 nucleotides) under Elaphrothrips spiniceps. Its description in RNAcentral is "12S ribosomal RNA". Lineage: Eukaryota; Metazoa; Arthropoda; Insecta; Thysanoptera; Phlaeothripidae. The record is from RNAcentral.
CGGUAGAUUACUUUUUUUCUAAUUUAUUCUUUUUUAUAAAAAAUUAUAUAUAAUUUUUUAUAAAAAGAAACUAUUAGUAGGUAAUAUUUAUUAAGAGUUUAAUGUAUAUUAAUUUAAGUUUAGAAAUAAUUUUCUAAUUUUUGUGCCAGAAGUUUCGGUUAAUCAAAUAAUUGUUGAAUAAAUAAGGUCAAAAUUUUAGUUAAAAUUGUUAUAAAUUAUUUAAAAUUAUUUAUAUAUAGUAAAAUAAAAAUAAUAAAUUUUAUUUUUUAAUUUUUUUGAGGCUAAGAAAUUUUAUAUAUUAUUAACUAGGAUUAGAUACCCUAUUAAUUAAUAAAAAAUGAUUUUUAUAAAUGUCCAAGUAAAAAAAAAUUUAGUUUUUAAAUCUAAGAAAAUGGCGGCAUUUUAAUUUAUUAGGGGGUUUUGUUUUAUAUAGAAAGUACUCAAAAUACCUUAUUUUAUAUUCACUUAUUUAUUUCCGGUUUUAAUUUUUUUAUAAAAUUUUUAUAAUUAAAUAACUUUAUUAUCAGGUCAAUAUAUAGUUUAUUAUAAAUUUUAAAUGAAAUACAUUUAUUUAAUUAUUAAAUUUUUAUUUUAAAUAAAUUUUAGUUUAUAGAACUUAAAAGUAAUUACUAUUAAAUUAGAAUAAAUUUUUGAAUUUAAAUUAUUUUGUGUACAAAUUGCCCGUCAUUCUUAAUAGUUUAAGACAAGUCGAAACAUAGUAAAUGUAUUGGAAAAUGUAUUUAGAAAAUA